UUGGAGACCUCAAAUCAGGUAGGACUACCCGCUGAACUUAAGCAUAUCAAUAAGCGGAGGAAAAGAAACUAACAAGGAUUCCCCUAGUAACUGCGAGUGAAGCGGGAAAAGCUCAAAUUUGAAAUCUGGCAGUUCUURACUGUCCGAGUUGUAAUCUAGAGAAGUGUUACCUGUGCUGGACCGUGUACAAGUCUCCUGGAAUGGAGCAUCAUAGAGGGUGAGAAUCCCGUCUUUGACACGGACUACCUGUGCGUUAUGGUGCGCUCUCAAAGAGUCGAGUUGUUUGGGAAUGCAGCUCAAAAUGGGUGGUAAAUGCCAUCUAAAGCUAAAUAUUGGCGAGAGACCGAUAGCGAACAAGUACCGUGAGGGAAAGAUGAAAAGAACUUUGGAAAGAGAGUUAAACAGUACGUGAAAUUGCUGAAAGGGAAACGCUUGAAGUCAGUCGCGUUGGCUAGAAAUCAGCCUUGCUCUUGCACGGUGUACUUUCUGGUCGACGGGUCAGCAUCAAUUUUGACCAUUGGAUAAAGUCUUUGGGAAUGUGGCAUCUCAGGAUGUGUUAUAGCCCAUUGUCGCAUACGGUGGUUGGGAUUGAGGAACUCAGCACGCCGCAAGGCCAGGUUUCGACCAUGUUCGUGCUUAGGAUGCUGGCAUAAUGGCUUUAAUCGACCCGU
RNAcentral lists this ribosomal RNA (671 nucleotides) under Inocybe nitidiuscula. RNAcentral's name for it is "eukaryotic LSU rRNA". It matches the Rfam family "Eukaryotic large subunit ribosomal RNA", at positions 1 to 652 of the family's 3401-position model. Lineage: Eukaryota; Fungi; Basidiomycota; Agaricomycetes; Agaricales; Inocybaceae. The record is from RNAcentral.